RNAcentral lists this unclassified non-coding RNA (185 nucleotides) under Uromyces vignae. Its description in RNAcentral is "ITS2". The record is from RNAcentral. Lineage: Eukaryota; Fungi; Basidiomycota; Pucciniomycetes; Pucciniales; Pucciniaceae.
UGUUGAGUGUUGCUGUUAUUUAGCUCACUUUAAAUAUAUAAGUUCAUUUCUUAUUAUAUUGGAUUGACUUGGUGUAAUAUUUAACUUUUGUUUCACCAAGGAAAGUUGCAAAGCUUGCCAAUAUUUUCAAGUUAGAACUCCUAAACUAACUUUAUUAAUUUUUUUUUUAAAACCUCAAAUCAGGU